Molecule: long non-coding RNA, 723 nt
Filed under: Gouania willdenowi (blunt-snouted clingfish)
Lineage: Eukaryota; Metazoa; Chordata; Actinopteri; Blenniiformes; Gobiesocidae
Description: lncRNA (ENSGWIG00000012926.1)
Source: RNAcentral
CCGGAAUCCUUGGUGAAGGCUAUCCAGAAUUAGCUGUCUUGUGACGGCAGUAGAAGCUGCUGUGGGCUCGUCCUGUCGCCUGGAAGCAGACCACUCCCUUUCUAUCCUAAUAAAUAUGGCAGGAGGCCGGCUAGGACCGCUUUUAGGCUUCAGUGCUCCGACAUCAACAGGUGUAGAACAUCAGAGGAUUCCUUCAUCAGCCGCAGGAGCAACUACAAUCAUCAUCAUCAUCAUCAUCAUCCAAUGGAGACCAGCUCACUGCAGCAGGCUUGGUCCUGGUGGGGCGUGGACUCCGAGCAGGCACACCUGGUUCCAAUUACUCAUCACUGCAAUACAAAAGCCUCAGACUCACCUCCACUCAUCGUUGGAUUGUUCCGUCUAUGCUGCGGUACUUCUGCUCUCGAGAUAUCCUGAAGUCUAUGCCUUUUGCCAAGUUUUAUUUUUGAUUCUGGACUUUUAUUCCUCUAGUACCCGAGCCUGCUCUGGAGCCACUCCCAGGAUCAAGCCAAGCCAAGAGGACACUUUUUGUUAAAUAAAUUCACGUCGACCCACACUUUGGGUGUUGUGUUUGUUUAUGGGUCCAACUUAACAACCCUAACAAUUAUUACUGUUUUCUUUUUGUUUUAUAUUCAUACAUCCGAAUGGAUGUUUUUUAUGUUCUUUAUUUUUUUUCUUCAAUGGCUACUCUAAAGUGCUAAAUAAAUGUAAUAUAUUGGCUGGCCA